GCCGGGCGUUGUGGCGGGCGCCUGUGGUCCCAGCUGCUUGGGAGGCGGAGGCAGGAGACUCGCUUGAGCCCAGGAGUUGGAGGUUGCUGUGAGCUGUAAUGCCACGGCACGCUACCCAAGGGGAGAGCUUGAGGCUCUGUCUCAAAACAAACAAACAAACAAACAUACUUUUUUUUUUUUUUUUUUUUUGAGACAGAGCCUCAAGCUAUCCCCCUGGGUAGAGUGCCGUGGCAUCACGCUCACAGCAACCUCCAACUCCUGGGCUCAAGUGAGUCUCCUGCCUCAG
Non-coding RNA from Otolemur garnettii (small-eared galago), 286 nucleotides. The record is from Rfam. NCBI's taxonomy places the organism in Eukaryota, Metazoa, Chordata, Mammalia, Primates, Galagidae.